AAUUAAAAUUUACAAAAUAUAAAGGUUUAUAGGGUCUUCUCGGCUUUUAAAAAUAUUUUUGCCUUUUGGCUAAAAAAAAAAAAUCUACAAAAAA
Molecule: ribosomal RNA, 94 nt
Filed under: Mastotermes darwiniensis (giant northern termite)
Lineage: Eukaryota; Metazoa; Arthropoda; Insecta; Blattodea; Mastotermitidae
Description: 16S rRNA
Source: RNAcentral